AUAUAAACCACCUGCAUUAUCUUGUUAAAAUGCAGAUUCUAAUUUAGUAGUUAGGAGUGGGAUCAGAGAUUCUGAAUUUCUAACAAGUCCCCAUGUGAAAGCUAU
Molecule: microRNA precursor, 105 nt
Filed under: Marmota monax (woodchuck)
Lineage: Eukaryota; Metazoa; Chordata; Mammalia; Rodentia; Sciuridae
Source: RNAcentral